CAGGUUCAUGAUGGCGUGGUAUUUCAGUGCGUCACCGAUAUAAUAACCACAGGUUCAUGAUGGCGUGGUAUUUCAGUGCGUCACCGAUAUAAUAACCACAGGUUCAUGAUGGCGUGGUAUUUCAGUGCGUCACCGAUAUAAUAACCACAGGUUCAUGAUGGCGUGGUAUUUCAGUGCGUCACCGAUAUAAUAACCACAGGUUCAUGAUGGCGUGGUAUUUCAGUGCGUCACCGAUAUAAUAACCACAGGUUCAUGAUGGCGUGGUAUUUCAGUGCGUCACCGAUAUAAUAACCACAGGUUCAUGAUGGCGUGGUAUUUCAGUGCGUCACCGAUAUAAUAACCACAGGUUUAUGAUGGCGUGGUAUUUCAGUGCGUCACCGAUAUAAUAACCACAGGUUCAUGAUGGCGUGGUAUUUCAGUGUGUCACCGAUAUAAUAACCACAGGUUCAUGAUGGCGUGGUAUUUCAGUGUGUCA
Molecule: long non-coding RNA, 475 nt
Organism: Oncorhynchus keta (chum salmon)
Lineage: Eukaryota; Metazoa; Chordata; Actinopteri; Salmoniformes; Salmonidae
Exons: 4
Source: RefSeq, a predicted model, not a curated record